This is a long non-coding RNA of Zea mays, 1297 nucleotides long. RefSeq lists it as uncharacterized. The record is from RefSeq and is marked validated. Lineage: Eukaryota; Viridiplantae; Streptophyta; Magnoliopsida; Poales; Poaceae. The transcript has 2 exons.
CUCCACUUUUUCCAGCCGCCACUCUCUUCUUCCUCCUCUCCCACACGCACAACUCUCUCCUCCUUGCUCCAUGGCGCAGCAGCAAAGUCCUUCUUCCCCACAUCCGGUCGUUGUCCCCCUGGUCCUGCUCGGCGAUGCCCUUCUCCCCUAGGCCGGUGAGCAGGUCUUCUUCCUCCCUGCUUCACGGCAGCAAGCAUGGACGCCGCUGCUCCUUUUUUUUCCUCUCGCUCUGCUCGCUCGGCCGCCAGCAGCCAUGGCCGACCUCCACUUCCAUGGAGCAGGCGCCCCCAACAGCCAUGGCGCCCUUCCCUGUUCUCCAGCGCCCUCCCUGCCAUCUUCCCUCCCAUGGGCGCGAGCUUCACCCUCGGCAAUGGACGCUGCGCGAGAUCCCCCUUGCGCCCCUGUUUUCCCAGCCGUGCAGCUCCCUAUUCGACUUCCAUGGUCGCCCAGCUCCCUGUCCACGGCGCCCAGGAAUUCCAACAGCAGCUCAUCCCCUCCCAGCGCCCCCUUCUGCUCCAUGGCUGCAAGAAGCCUCUCCAUGGUUGACGCACAGGUGGCCAGCAGCUCUGCUCGCCCCUUGUACCUUGAGCAGCAAGAAGCAGCGCCCCUAUCUCCUUUUCCCCGCAGCCCCACCAAAUCGACGCGCCGUAGGUGCUCGACAAAAUGCGCAGCUCCAUUUCUCCAUGGCCGCGAGCAUUUCCUUGCCGCGACUGCCUCCCAAGGACAGCGCGUAGCAGCCUCCCCGUGGCCAUGGUCUGCAACAUGAAGUCGCACGCUACAUGUUCGAUGUUUUGCGCAGCAGCUCCGACGUCUCCACGCGGCUCGCUGCUUUGUGCUGCGCAGCGAACAGCCGUCGACGCCCGCCGUGUGUUCGCUGUUUUGCUUAGCCCCAAUAUCGUCGUCGUUCACCCCGGUGAGACCACGACAAUUCUUGUUUAAUUUCACAUCGACAUUAUUCUCCGGUGAUUAAUUGUGUAUGUGUUGCUUGUUUUGUUUUGUGGAGGAGACGAACCCCGUGUUUUGCGGGGAGAAGGCAAGUCGUUCGACGCUCGUCGACGUUCGAAGUUAUGCGCAAAUCGGAAUCGCCAUCGUCCUUACAAACACCGAUUGGGUUUGUUUAUGGACCGAGAGAUGAUGAUCGAGCCAGUGAUGUGGUGCCAACCACAAGAUGCCGUGGUGGACGACCUGAAGAAUGGACUUAACUAGUGGAUGCUCGCCAAGCGAGUACCCCCCCAGCAAACACUAUCUAAGUGUUAAAUUAAAGACAAGCCCCAGUUUUAUGCAUAACCGUUUAUAU